Molecule: ribosomal RNA, 253 nt
Filed under: uncultured bacterium
Lineage: Bacteria
Description: partial 16S ribosomal RNA
Rfam family: Bacterial small subunit ribosomal RNA
Source: RNAcentral
UACGUAGGGUGCGAGCGUUAAUCGGAAUUACUGGGCGUAAAGUGUGCGCAGGCGGCGUUGCAAGUCGAGUGUGAAAUCCCCGAGCUUAACUUGGGAAUUGCGCUCGAAACUACGAUGCUCGAGUAUGGCAGAGGAAGGUGGAAUUCCACGUGUAGCGGUGAAAUGCGUAGAGAUGUGGAGGAACACCGAUGGCGAAGGCAGCCUUCUGGGCCAAUACUGACGCUCAUGCACGAAAGCGUGGGGAGCGAACCGG